AAGAAAUUACUAAGUAAGCAAAGAAAGAAAGAAAGAAAGAAAGAAGUUGCUAAGAAAGAAAGAAAGAAAGAAGUUACUAAGAACGAAAGAAAGAAAGAAGUUACUAAGAACGAAAGAAAGAAAGAAGUUACUAAGAACGAAAGAAAGAAAGAAAGAAAGAAAGAAGUUACUAAGAAAGAAAGAAAGAAAGAAAGAAAGAAAGAAAGAAAGAAAGAGAAAAGUUACUAAGAAAGAAAGAAGUUACUAAGUAAGCAAAGAAAGAAAGAAAGAAAGAAGUUGCUAAGAAAGAAAGAAAGAAAGAAAGAAAGAAGUUACUAAGAAAGAAGAAAGAAAGAAAGAAAGAAUUACUAAGAAAGAAAGAAAGAAAGAAAGAAAGAAGUUACUAAGAAAGAAAGAAAGAAGUUACUAAGUAAGCAAAGAAAGAAAGACAGAAGUAGAGAUCUCGGUAUAAUCCCUGACGAGAGAUCAAGUAAAAUACACCUGCUUCCUAUAAUAAUGAUGAUAUAAAAAGGCGUGUGGAAUUUAAGAUCAGAUCUCAUGGUAUGGACAGGUUUAGGGAUGAGGUUUCAGGUUUACGCUCGGGCGCUGUGAACGAGUCACUCUCACUGUGCACUCGGGUGUGGUGUGUAGAGCAGCAGGGGUAACACACAACGUGUGUGGUGUGUGCUCAUGGUUAAUGUGGCAUGACGCAGGAGAGAGAGAGAGCGAGAGAGAGCGAGAGCGAGCGAGAGAGUCGGGCUUGUUGGUUGAGGUGUAAUUGGGAGAGGAGAUACACACACGUGACUGUAAGACCAUGUGUACAUCUGAUCAGUUCAGGUUGUAAGGUUUUAAUUACAUGUGUAGUCAGAUAUAUCACCGCUGAACUGAACUCUGUUUUAUUUGCUGUACCGCAUGUAAUAUGCAGUUCAGCGCUGGUCCAGGUACUGUACUUAAAAAUGGUUUCCACAUCAAUAUAUUUUUUGCUUCAUUAAAGACACCAAUUUGAUGUCAAUUUGAGCAGAUACUGUACGCUGUGACAAUGC
This is a long non-coding RNA of Ictalurus punctatus (channel catfish), 1022 nucleotides long. The record is from Ensembl. Lineage: Eukaryota; Metazoa; Chordata; Actinopteri; Siluriformes; Ictaluridae.